GUUUGGUUAAGUUAGAAAGGGCGCACGGUGGAUGCCUUGACACUAGGAGUCGAUGAAGGACGGGACUAACGCCGAUAUGCUUCGGGGAGCUGUAAGUAAGCUUUGAUCCGAAGAUUUCCGAAUGGGGAAACCCACCAUACGUAAUGGUAUGGUAUCCUUAUCUGAAUACAUAGGGUAAGGAAGACAGACCCAGGGAACUGAAACAUCUAAGUACCUGGAGGAAGAGAAAGCAAAUGCGAUUUCCUGAGUAGCGGCGAGCGAAACGGAACAUAGCCCAAACCAAGAGGCUUGCCUCUUGGGGUUGUAGGACAUUCUAUACGGAGUUACAAAGGAACGAGGUAGACGAAGCGACCUGGAAAGGUCCGUCGUAGAGGGUAACAACCCCGUAGUCGAAACUUCGUUCUCUCUUGAAUGUAUCCUGAGUACGGC
Molecule: ribosomal RNA, 429 nt
Filed under: Bacillus anthracis (anthrax bacterium)
Lineage: Bacteria; Bacillati; Bacillota; Bacilli; Caryophanales; Bacillaceae
Also listed under: 1 other name
Description: bacterial LSU rRNA
Rfam family: Bacterial large subunit ribosomal RNA
Source: RNAcentral